GAAGAGAAAAGAGGAAGGAAAAGAAAAUUUUUUUGAAUGAAAAAGAAGCUCUCUGUUUUGUCACCAAUUACCAGCUUCUACUCUUAUAGGUGGACUGAAGGGUAAGCGAGAGAGAAAUAUCAGAUUGCUGACCAUUUCAAAGGCUACCCCACAGAAACAUAAAAGUAAUCACUCGUUUAACCAGUGAGUGAGCGGAGAAACAAC
RNAcentral lists this unclassified non-coding RNA (204 nucleotides) under Hevea brasiliensis (rubber tree). The record is from RNAcentral. Lineage: Eukaryota; Viridiplantae; Streptophyta; Magnoliopsida; Malpighiales; Euphorbiaceae.